CAACCUGAGAGUUUGAUCCUGGCUCAGAACGAACGCUGGCGGCAUGCCUAACACAUGCAAGUCGAACGCAUCAGCAAUGGUGAGUGGCGGACGGGUGAGGA
This 101-nucleotide ribosomal RNA is filed under the name Pseudomonadota bacterium. RNAcentral describes it as "partial 16S ribosomal RNA". It matches the Rfam family "Bacterial small subunit ribosomal RNA", at positions 1 to 112 of the family's 1533-position model. Lineage: Bacteria; Pseudomonadati; Pseudomonadota. The record is from RNAcentral.